ACGGAGGGUGCGAGCGUUGUUCGGAAUUACUGGGCGUAAAGGGCGCGUAGGCGGCUUUACAAGUCAGUUGUGAAAGUCCACGGCUCAACCGUGGAAGUGCAAUUGAAACUGUAAGGCUUGAGUACUGGAGGGGAGUGUGGAAUUCCUGGUGUAGAGGUGAAAUUCGUAGAUAUCAGGAGGAAUACCGGUGGCGAAGGCGACACUCUGGACAGAUACUGACGCUGAGGCGCGAAAGCGUGGGGAGCAAACAGG
Molecule: ribosomal RNA, 252 nt
Filed under: uncultured bacterium
Lineage: Bacteria
Description: partial 16S ribosomal RNA
Rfam family: Bacterial small subunit ribosomal RNA
Source: RNAcentral